UUGAACGCUGGCGGCAUGCUUUACACAUGCAAGUCGAACGGUAACAGGCCGCAAGGUGCUGACGAGUGGCGAACGGGUGAGUAAUGCAUCGGAACGUGCCCAGUCGUGGGGGAUAACGCAGCGAAAGCUGUGCUAAUACCGCAUACGAUCUAAGGAUGAAAGCGGGGGACCGAAAGGCCUCGCGCGAUUGGAGCGGCCGAUGUCAGAUUAGCUAGUUGGUGGGGUAAAGGCCCACCAAGGCAACGAUCUGUAGCUGGUCUGAGAGGACGACCAGCCACACUGGGACUGAGACACGGCCCAGACUCCUACGGGAGGCAGCAGGGGGGAAUUUUGGACAAUGGGCGCAAGCCUGAUCCAGCCAUGCCGCGUGAGUGAAGAAGGCCUUCGGGUUGUAAAGCUCUUUCAGACGGAAAGAAAUCGGGCGCGUGAAUAGCGUGCCUGGAUGACGGUACUGUCAGAAGAAGCACCGGCUAACUACGU
Molecule: ribosomal RNA, 480 nt
Filed under: uncultured bacterium
Lineage: Bacteria
Description: bacterial SSU rRNA
Rfam family: Bacterial small subunit ribosomal RNA
Source: RNAcentral